GGCAGAGAGGGGUGUGCUCUGAGGCACCAUAGCAGCACCACAGCAGUGAAGGGAGGAGUGCCAUCUACACCUCCUGCACGUCUUCACUGAGAGAAGCAAAGGAGGGAGAAGGAGAGAAGGAGAUUUCCGUUCACAUUGCCCGAGUUUUCCAAAGGACAUCAUCUAUCUCAAACCUCUGUCGCAGCACCGAAUUCCUCCAGAGGAAACUUUGAACUCAGCCAUGGAGCAGAAGAUGAAUGAGUGCCCCACCACCACCUCUCCUCAGAAGUACAUGAAGAACCGGUCCAAAUCCACAGAGGAGAUUCAACAGACAAAGAAGGCCUUUUCCUCACAGAAAUCCCUCCCAGGUAGACCGGAGCUGGACAAAGUCAAGGAGGGGCCCGAUGGCUCUGAGACGCCCUCGUCCUCCACCGAGGAGCUGAAGUGACGGUGGCAUCCAACCACCAGAUGAUCAUAAAACCAACAUGCAUAAAAUGUACAUAUCUGCACAGGGACACACACACGCACAACACAAACAAACAACACUGAGAAGAGCGUAGGAGUGCAGUAAAUUGGAAAAUGCACAAACAGUGAAUCUGUCGUCAGUUGAAAGAAAGAAAUUGGGCAAACAUGGGCUCUUACACACACACACACACACACACACACACACACACUGAGACAAUCACACAUGAACAAAGAGACACACAUGAUGAUGCUGUUCCAUUGUACUGUGAGUGUUGUAUACACACCAAGCUGAAUGUGCAAUGACAAUAAAUUAAUGCUAUUGAGUGU
Myripristis murdjan (pinecone soldierfish) is the source of this 771-nucleotide long non-coding RNA. RefSeq lists it as uncharacterized. The record is from RefSeq and is a predicted model, not a curated record. NCBI's taxonomy places the organism in Eukaryota, Metazoa, Chordata, Actinopteri, Holocentriformes, Holocentridae. The transcript has 5 exons.